RNAcentral lists this ribosomal RNA (513 nucleotides) under uncultured bacterium. RNAcentral's name for it is "partial 16S ribosomal RNA". It matches the Rfam family "Bacterial small subunit ribosomal RNA", at positions 28 to 523 of the family's 1533-position model. The record is from RNAcentral.
GAUGAACGCUGGCGGCGUGCCUAAUACAUGCAAGUCGAGCGGACCAAAGAGAGCUUGCUCUCUGAGGUUAGCGGCGGACGGGUGAGUAACACGUGGGUAGCCUGCCUGUAAGACGGGGAUAACUUCGGGAAACCGAAGCUAAUACCGGAUGAUAAAGAGAAACGCCUGUUUCUUUUUUGAAAGUCGGCCUUGUGCUGACGCUUACAGAUGGGCCCGCGGCGCAUUAGCUAGUUGGUGAGGUAACGGCUCACCAAGGCGACGAUGCGUAGCCGACCUGAGAGGGUGAUCGGCCACACUGGGACUGAGACACGGCCCAGACUCCUACGGGAGGCAGCAGUAGGGAAUCUUCGGCAAUGGACGAAAGUCUGACCGAGCAACGCCGCGUGAGCGAUGAAGGCCUUCGGGUCGUAAAGCUCUGUUGUCAGAGAAGAACAAGUACCGGAGUAACUGCCGGUACCUUGACGGUACCUGACCAGAAAGCCACGGCUAACUACGUGCCAGCCGCCGCAGUAA